CUUGGUCAUUUAGAGGAAGUAAAAGUCGUAACAAGGUUUCCGUAGGUGAACCUGCGGAAGGAUCAUUAGUGAACGCCCUCACGGGCUUAUAACUAUUCCAAACCUCUGUGAACCGUGCCCUUCGGGGCUAUUGUACAAACAUGGUGUAAUGAACGUCAUAUAUCAUAACAAAACAAAACUUUCAACAACGGAUCUCUUGGCUCUCGCAUCGAUGAAGAACGCAGCGAAAUGCGAUAAGUAAUGUGAAUUGCAGAAUUCAGUGAAUCAUCGAAUCUUUGAACGCACCUUGCGCCCUCUGGUAUUCCGGAGGGCAUGCCUGUUUGAGUGUCAUGUAGACUCAAUCCCUCGGGUUUCCGAGGAGAUUGGACUUGGGUGUUGCCGCUCUGCCGGCUCGCCUUAAAAGACUUAGCGGGAUAGCACCGUAGUCGGCGUAAUAAGUUUCGUCGGUGAAGGUUGUGAUGACUGCUUACAAUCGCCCUCGGGCAAUUUUUGACUCUGACCUCAAAUCAGGUAGGACUACCCGCUGAACUUAAGCAUAUCAAUAAGCGGAGGA
Molecule: ribosomal RNA, 553 nt
Filed under: uncultured fungus
Lineage: Eukaryota; Fungi
Description: eukaryotic LSU rRNA
Rfam family: 5.8S ribosomal RNA (bases 177-330)
Source: RNAcentral